GAUGAAGAACGUAGCGAAAUGCGAUACUUGGUGUGAAUUGCAGAAUCCCGUGAACCAUCGAGUCUUUGAACUCAAGUUGCGCCCGAAGCCACUAGGCCGAGGGCACGCCUGCCUGGGCGUCACACGUCGUUGCCCCCCCAUCUACUCCUUCGGGAUUGCGGGGGGGCGGAUGAUGGCCUCCCGUGCGCCUAGCCGCGCGGUUGGCAUAAAUACCAAGUCCUCGGCGACGCACGCCACGACAAUCGGUGGUUGCGAAACCUCGGUUGCCCGUCGUGUGCGUUCGUCGCGCAUCGAGGGCUCGAAAAAAUGCUCGGCUUCGGCUCGGCUUUCAACGCGACCCCAGGUCAGGCGGGGUUACCCGCUGAAUUUAAGCAUAUCAAUAAGCGGAGGA
RNAcentral lists this unclassified non-coding RNA (391 nucleotides) under soil metagenome. RNAcentral describes it as "partial contains 5.8S ribosomal RNA, internal transcribed spacer 2, and large subunit ribosomal RNA". The stretch from base 1 to 122 matches the Rfam family "5.8S ribosomal RNA", at positions 35 to 154 of the family's 154-position model. The record is from RNAcentral.